This is a long non-coding RNA of Cebus imitator (Panamanian white-faced capuchin), 3744 nucleotides long. RefSeq lists it as uncharacterized. NCBI's taxonomy places the organism in Eukaryota, Metazoa, Chordata, Mammalia, Primates, Cebidae. The transcript has 2 exons. The record is from RefSeq and is a predicted model, not a curated record.
GAUUCUCCCACCUCAGCCUCUCGAGUAGCUGGGAUUACAGAUGAAGACAUUGCCCAGAAAGUCUAAGGAAUUGACUUGCACAGAGUCACACACCUAACUGAGAUAUGAGGAACACAGAUCCAAAUCUGGGAAAAUACAUUAAGAAGAAAUAAAUGGAAAAAAGUCUAUUCACGUGAAAGAAAUGUAGCUUAUCUGAUAGAACUUAUUGGGAGUGAGAUGUGGGGUGGUGGAGAUGUUGAAAGGUCAUGCUUGAAAAAAAACAGAGGAAAGUAUUUGGUUUCGUAUUCUUUCCCCUUCACAAUUGUGAAUAGUAGCGGCUUUUCCCUUCUAUUUAACGGGGAAUUUUCUUUACUUGCUCAGUACCUUCUCCUCCACCCUGCAAGGAAACCUCAAUCAUAUGUUUAUAAUCUGUUUACUUCAAAUGAUUAGCAUGAAUUUUGUAGUCACUAUAGAGUUUAUCCUUCAGAUGUUACCCAAUUUUUAAGUCACCAGGACACUGUGUCUAUUCUUAGCCUCCGGGGUAGACACGUAUUAUGGGUUGGCACAGAGACUAGUUCCAUGAGUGAGAAAGCAGCAUUCAGUGGGACAGAGGCCAGGAACAAAACGUCAGUGGGUCAGGGUGGAGUGGGAAGAGCUUGGUAACUCAGGGGAAGGAAUGAGAAAUUUUUCUUAAAAGAGAAAUUCUUCCACUUUAGAAGGACUCUUGUGUAUGGCAGAUUUCAAAUUUCUGCUCUAUAAGUUGGCUUGUAGCUUUCUGCCUCUAGAGCAGUGGUUUCAAACACUGAUUUGGAUCACAGUUCCUUUUGAGGAUUUCACAUAGCUACGAAUUCUGCCUCUCCUCCUAUCCCCCAAAAACACAUGCAGCUAAUAAUUUUGUCUACAAUUUCAGGGAACUUGCAAAUUCUCUAAACAUCCACAGACUAUCCAUAGAGCUCAGGUUGAAAACUCAAGCCCUUCCACUCUCCACCUCAAAGGUUGGUGUUUAUGAAAGCAAUAAGGUGAUUUUUCCUUGGAUACAGCCUCUACACUGUAUCCCAGCUUAAAAUCAUCCAUAGCUCCUCGCUAACUUUGGGAUCACGUCCUAACUCCCAAGAAGAGCACAUAAGGCCUUCCAUGAUCUGGCCUUUGUGUCUUUCUCCAGUAUUAUCUCUCAACACAUCCUUUCCUCACUCUGUACUAUAGUGAUAUGAAACUAAAUGCAGUUCUCCAAACCCACAGAGCUCUUUUCUCCAAAUGUUUGUAUAUGGUCAUAUCCUUUCUGCCUGGAACACUCUCUGCCCCUUCCUACCAGGUGAACAUCCAUUUUUUUCUGGGCUCAACUUGGAUGUCAUUUCUUUUUCAGGAAGUCUUCUCUGACCAUCCAGAGCUGAGUUAGGUGUCCCUCUCCUGUGCUUUUGUAAUACCCAGUACUUGCCCAGUAGGCAGCUCUUGUCACUCUAUAUCACAACUGCUUGUUUGCUUAUACCUAGCUCCCAUUUUAAGUGGUUGAAAGGCUGGGACAUGUUCAUUGUGAAAUUUCCAGGGUACAGCAGACUCUCCAUAGAUGUUUUCUGCAUUAAAAAUAAAUGAAUGAUUGAAGAAGCAAUGUGACGGAAAAAAUGAGGACAGAACUUCCUGCUGUGAGGCACAUGGGGUGAAAAUGUUGGCUCUUUUCAAAGGCAAAUGGAAAACCAAAGUUGGGGAGAAAGGCAAAGGUUGAGCAACUUUGUUGAAUCCAAUGUUGUUUUUAUGGGUGUGCCACCUUAGAAGGGCCCUUAGCAAUAAGAACGUCUUAGGAAGGAAAAGUUAGUGGUGAAUGAUGACGGGGAUCAUGACGACAAUGACGAUGAUGAUGAGGCUAAUGAGGAUAAUAAUGGGAGGAUGAUGGGGAUGAUGAGGAUGAGGAGGAGGAUCAUGGGGAUGAUGAGGAUGAUAUGCAUGUGUUGGAAGGCAGGGAGAAGGCACACUGAUGGAGUAAGGGUUUUACUUGUAUUAAUAGUUCUCAUUUUUUGAAAGAUAAAUGCCAAGGCAUGCAUUGAGGGCCUGCAUUUAUUAUCUUAAUGAGUCCCCACAAUAAUUAUGUUUUAAUUACUAUUCAUAUUUUAAAGAUAAGGAGACACAAGUUACAGAACUUGUCUUUUUUCCCCACAUGUAUGCCUUUAAAAUCAAAAGUACUUUAAAGGCUACUGAGCUUAAUAAACAAGAUAACAGACAAAAUAUAAAUCUAUUUUAAAAUCCCUCUGUUUGAAAAGCAGUAUCAGCGAGCAGGCAGCAAUAAUGAAAGGUGGGUUCUGGGAUCAGGCAGACCUGGGUUCAAAUUUCAACUCUGCUUUUUUCUAUGUUGUAUAUGGGUAAAAUAUAAUACAUUUUACUUCCAAUGAUGGUUAAGAACAAAUAGCAUAAAGUAAGCGAAGUACAGAUAUGCAACAGGUUCAAAACAAAUAUUAAUAUCUACACUUAAGUCAAUACGAUAUUAAUGUCAUAUGAAUUUUCUGAAUAUCAUACAUAUAAUGAAAGGCACUACAUUAAAUGAUAUACACUUUCUGAUCAUCAGAUAGCGAUGGUAGCAUGGCAUUUCUAGUAAUAGUAAUAAAUCAACAAACAAUAAUUAUCCAGAAAUGUUCUUACUUAAACUUAGUAAUAGCUGAGCAUUAUCACCACUGCCUCUACCAACUAAAAUGAGAUUAGGAAAUUAUGUUUAAGAGUAAUGUUAUCUUUUGUUGAGUUUAUUCUAUAAAGUGAAUAAACUAUCAAUCCCCUUUUCCUUUCCCUUUGGUAUACUGUAUAUCAGGCCUAUACUUUCUCUUCACAAAAGCAUUCAUUUCAAAAGGAUAUACAUUAGAAACUAGUUUUAUACCUUAAAAUUAUCCAUUCCUCUGGAAAUGUUUGGAAAUUAUUCUGGUUUUGGAUAGGACAAGUUAUAAACAUUUUCUGUUCUCAUUAAAAGUGAAGGCAAUUCAGUAAACAGUAAUGAUGGAGACUGAAGAAGGGGUAAAUGAUACCACAGUUCCAAAGAAAGAAAAUCCCUUUUAAAGGGUUAGUUCUUAAAUCAAAAUGAUGGCCAAAUUAUACAUGAAACAAACCUGGAAUAAAAAAAUUGAUUUCCAAAGAUGGCUUCUUAUACCCUAUAAAAAAUAUAAGAUCUUUCCUUUGGGAGUUAAAAAAUCCUAGUAAGUAAUUUUGACUCUGGAAUUUUAGCUUAAUGACAAUUGUAUAGCCUACUUUUAGCUGCUUGUUAUAUUCUUCAUGAUAGCAAAGCAAGAAAUCUUAGAAAAUUCUCAUAUGUCUCAUGUGAUAUCCCAUGACAGUAUAUUAUAAUAAUGAAAAAAUGUAGCUUUUGUAGUUCGAAUGCCUAUGUGUAAAUAUUUGCUUCAUACUUUACUAAUUGUUUUUCUUGGACAAAUUAUACAAUUUUGUGUGUUUCGAUUUCUUGUCUACUAUGGAGUAAAUAAUAGUGCCUUUCUCAUGGAAUUGCUGUAUGGCUUGAAUAAGAUCAUGUAAAUAAAAUAUGUGACACAGUCUCUGACCCCUGUGAGGUGUUUGGUAUGGUUUUAAUGAUGCGUCUCCUCCAAAAUUCCUGUUGAAAUCUAAUCCUCAGGGUGGUGGCACAAGAGAUGGGACCUUAUGGGAGGUGAUCAAGUCAUGAGGGCUCUGCUUCAUGACAGGGAUUAGGUGCCCUUAUGAAAGGGAUUGAGAAAGUAAGUUCAGUCCCUUUUGGCCCUUCUACCUACCACCAUGGAAGAAUGCCACCAUGAGAAGGAACCA